RNAcentral lists this ribosomal RNA (253 nucleotides) under uncultured bacterium. RNAcentral describes it as "partial 16S ribosomal RNA". It matches the Rfam family "Bacterial small subunit ribosomal RNA", at positions 524 to 776 of the family's 1533-position model. The record is from RNAcentral.
UACGUAGGGGGCUAGCGUUGCUCGGAAUCACUGGGCGUAAAGCGCACGUAGGCGGCUUUUUAAGUCAGGGGUGAAAUCCUGGAGCUCAACUCCAGAACUGCCUUUGAUACUGAGAAGCUUGAGUUCGGGAGAGGUGAGUGGAACUGCGAGUGUAGAGGUGAAAUUCGUAGAUAUUCGCAAGAACACCAGUGGCGAAGGCGGCUCACUGGCCCGAUACUGACGCUGAGGUGCGAAAGCGUGGGGAGCAAACAGG